AUUGAACGCUGGCGGCAUGCCUUACACAUGCAAGUCGAACGGCAGCACGGGUGCUUGCACCUGGUGGCGAGUGGCGCACGGGUGAGUAAUACAUCGGGACAUGUCCUGUAGUGGGGGAUCGCCCGGCGAAAGCCGGAUUAAUACCGCAUACGAUCUCCGGAUGAAAGCGGGGGACCUUCGGGCCUCGCGCUAUAGGGUUGGCCGAUGGCUGAUUAGCUAGUUGGUGGGGUAAAGGCCUACCAAGGCGACGAUCAGUAGCUGGUCUGAGAGGACGACCAGCCACACUGGGAGUGAGACACGGCACAGACUCCGACGGGAGGCAGCAGUGGGGAAUUUUGGACAAGGGGCGAAAGCCUGAUCCAGCAAUGCCGCGUGUGUGAAGAAGGACUUCGGGUUGUAAAGCACUUUUGUCCGGAAAGAAAUCCUUGGCUCUAAUACAGUCGGGGGAUGACGGUACCGGAAGAAUAAGCACCGGCUAACUACGUG
RNAcentral lists this ribosomal RNA (486 nucleotides) under uncultured bacterium. RNAcentral's name for it is "partial 16S ribosomal RNA". It matches the Rfam family "Bacterial small subunit ribosomal RNA", at positions 29 to 507 of the family's 1533-position model. The record is from RNAcentral.